Smittium culicis is the source of this 74-nucleotide transfer RNA. It matches the Rfam family "tRNA". Rfam says of the family: Transfer RNA (tRNA) molecules are approximately 80 nucleotides in length. Their secondary structure includes four short double-helical elements and three loops (D, anti-codon, and T loops). NCBI's taxonomy places the organism in Eukaryota, Fungi, Kickxellomycota, Harpellomycetes, Harpellales, Legeriomycetaceae. The record is from Rfam.
GCUUGCUUAGCUCAGUUGGUUAGAGCGUGGUGCUAAUAACGCCAAGGUCACAGGUUCGACCCCUGUAGUGAGCA